UGAAGAAGAAAAAAAGGAGGAAGAGGAGAAGGAGAAGAAUGAAACAAACAAUCUCAUGGAACAGUGGCUGCUAUAUGUGCUGGCACAAAUUAGAAGAUUCACAGAAAGCUUCACAGGAUAAUGUUACCCCAGAACUGCCUCCAACCCUGUGACUUACCUGUGCAACAGAGCCAGAGCAAGGCCAACCUAAGAAUACUGGAAAAAGCACCGACUUUCUUCUGGAGAAACAUUCUUUAAAACUUAUCAAGCAAACAAGCAAGCAAACAAACAAACAAAAUCCAACUUCAUGGAGAACAUUUGCAUUCCCAGUACCUUGAAGGACAAGCAGGAGAAUCACAAGUUUGUGGAGAGCUGCCUGAUUAUAGU
This is a long non-coding RNA of Mastomys coucha (southern multimammate mouse), 366 nucleotides long. RefSeq lists it as uncharacterized. The record is from RefSeq and is a predicted model, not a curated record. Lineage: Eukaryota; Metazoa; Chordata; Mammalia; Rodentia; Muridae. The transcript has 4 exons.